RNAcentral lists this ribosomal RNA (253 nucleotides) under uncultured bacterium. RNAcentral's name for it is "partial 16S ribosomal RNA". It matches the Rfam family "Bacterial small subunit ribosomal RNA", at positions 524 to 776 of the family's 1533-position model. The record is from RNAcentral.
UACGUAGGGUCCGAGCGUUGUCCGGAAUUACUGGGCGUAAAGGGCGCGUAGGCGGAAUGGCAAGUCGGUCGUGAAAUCCUUCGGCUCAACCGAAGAACGUCGAUCGAAACUGCCGUUCUUGAGGAUUGCAGAGGAGACUGGAAUUCCAGGUGUAGCGGUGAAAUGCGUAGAUAUCUGGAGGAACACCGGUGGCGAAGGCGGCAUCCUGGACCGGCAUUGACGCUGAGGCGCGAAAGCUAGGGGAGCAAACGGG